UACGGAGGGUGCAAGCGUUAUCCGGAUUCACUGGGUUUAAAGGGUGCGUAGGUGGGUUUGUAAGUCAGUGGUGAAAUCUCCAUGCUUAACAUGGAAACUGCCAUUGAUACUACAGGUCUUGAAUUUUCCGGAGGUCAGCGGAAUAUGUCAUGUAGCGGUGAAAUGCUUAGAUAUGGCAUAGAACACCAAUUGCGAGGGCAGCUGACUACAGGGAUAUUGACACUGAGGCACGAAAGCGUGGGGAUCAAACAGG
Molecule: ribosomal RNA, 253 nt
Filed under: uncultured bacterium
Lineage: Bacteria
Description: partial 16S ribosomal RNA
Rfam family: Bacterial small subunit ribosomal RNA
Source: RNAcentral